CGUGCACUCUCUUAUUCCACACUUUCAGAGC
Molecule: non-coding RNA, 31 nt
Filed under: Homo sapiens (human)
Lineage: Eukaryota; Metazoa; Chordata; Mammalia; Primates; Hominidae
Source: RNAcentral